CCUACGGGAGGCAGCAGUGAGGAAUAUUGGUCAAUGGCCGAGAGUCUGAACCAGCCAAGUCGCGUGCGGGAAGAAUGUCCUAUGGAUUGUAAACCUCUUUUGUCAGGGAGCAAAGUCACCCACGUGUGGGUGAUGGCGAGUACCUGAAGAAAAAGCAUCGGCUAACUCCGUGCCAGCAGCCGCGGUAAUACGGAGGAUGCGGGCGUUAUCCGGAUUUAUUGGGUUUAAAGGGUGCGUAGGCGGGUUAUCAAGUCAGCGGUAAAAUCGUGGGGCUCAACUCCAUACAGCAGUUGAAACUGGUGAUCUUGAGUGGGCGAGAAGUAUGCGGAAUGCGUGGUGUAGCGGUGAAAUGCAUAGAUAUCACGAAGAACUCCGAUUGCGAAGGCAGCAUACCGUCGCCUGACUGACGCUGAAGCACGAAAGCGUGGGUAUCGAACAGGAUUAGAUACCCGAGUAGUC
This 459-nucleotide ribosomal RNA is filed under the name uncultured bacterium. RNAcentral's name for it is "partial 16S ribosomal RNA". It matches the Rfam family "Bacterial small subunit ribosomal RNA", at positions 338 to 795 of the family's 1533-position model. The record is from RNAcentral.